AUUGAACGCUGGCGGCAGGCCUAACACAUGCAAGUCGAACGAGUGGCGGACGGGUUAGUAAUGUCUGGGACACUGCCUGAUGGCGGGGGAUAACUACUGGAAACUGUAGCUAAUACCGCAUACCCUCGGAUGUGCCCAGAUGGGCUUUGCUAGUAGGUGGGGUAAAGGAUCACCUGGGCGACGAUCCCUAGCUGGUAUGAGAGGAUGACCAGCCACACUGGAACUGAGACACGGUCCUGACUCCUACGGGAGGCAGCAGUGGGGAAUAUUGGACAAUGGGCGCAAGCCUGAUGCAGCCAUGCCGCGUGUAUGAAGAAGGCCUUCGGUGUGUAAAGUACUUUCAGCGGGGAGGCGUUACCCACAGAAGAAGCACCGGCUAACUCCGUGCCAGCAGCCGCGGUAAUAC
RNAcentral lists this ribosomal RNA (406 nucleotides) under uncultured bacterium. Its description in RNAcentral is "partial 16S ribosomal RNA". It matches the Rfam family "Bacterial small subunit ribosomal RNA", at positions 30 to 526 of the family's 1533-position model. The record is from RNAcentral.